UUCAUCAACCAAAAAUUACAAAAAGAAAAAUUGAUGGUGAAUCAGUGGUGUUUUUGCAAGGAUUUUCUUUUGCAUGAAGUGCGUCAACGGAAGGAGGAGGAAAUGGAUGACUACAGCUCUCAAGUGAAGCAGCGUAGAGUACCAAUUUGUUGGAGUACAUGAAUAAAGAAGUUCUUCGAUGUAGAGAAGCCAAGGAG
This is a long non-coding RNA of Papaver somniferum (opium poppy), 197 nucleotides long. RefSeq lists it as uncharacterized. The record is from RefSeq and is a predicted model, not a curated record. Lineage: Eukaryota; Viridiplantae; Streptophyta; Magnoliopsida; Ranunculales; Papaveraceae. The transcript is spliced from 3 exons.